Mycena albidolilacea is the source of this 90-nucleotide non-coding RNA. Lineage: Eukaryota; Fungi; Basidiomycota; Agaricomycetes; Agaricales; Mycenaceae. The record is from the annotation of a GenBank genome assembly.
GCACCAGUGGUGUAUGGCACACCUGCUGGUAUAUGUGAUUUAGAACUAGAUUGGUAACAGCAGAUUGGGGUUCAAUUCCCCGCUGGUGCA